AUGGAGCAGCAAGGCCAAUCCAGCGAUUCUGCCCAUUCCUACGUUAUAGAGAUGGCUCAGCUGGCAAAUGAGCUCACUGGGAAACUAGACGCCCUCAACUCGUCCCAGGCGCCGGUUGGCGGCGGGCGUUCUUCUUGUCCCAUCAUCGUCGCCAAGGUCCGCGACCUCACGCGCAACGUCGACUGCGGCGAGUACGAUCCUGACCACGUCGCCAUCGGCCCGUACAACUACCCUCGGCCCCAGAGCAGGAGCCCGCACCUCGCCAUGGAGCACGACAAGCUGACGAGUCUUGGCAAGCUGCUCUCGGCUGCAAGAGCCAUGAGACCCGACAUGACGGUGAACGUCUACAUCAACGAGCUCAGAUGCCUUGAAGAAUCAGUGAGGAACUGCUACGCCAACACGUUUGCUGACAUGACGAGUGAGCAGUUUGUACGCAUGCUCCUCCUCGACGGCUGCUACAUACUCUCCCGUCUCGUUGGCUUCCAAGCACAGCCCGCAGAUGAUGCAUCGGUGACUGUAGAAGUCGGCGUCCCAUCGGCGAACAGGGCGGAGGCUCUGGCGGUAGUCCGCGACGUCUUCUACCUCGCCGAGAACCAGAUACCUUUCUUCGUCCUAGAGAAGAUUGGAGAGCUGACGGCUUUGGAUGGUAAGGAUCGUGUGAUUAAAAAGAUCACAGAGUAUGCCCUCGAUCUCAUGAGAAGACAGAAGUAUAAAGAGGCAGCGCCUGCCAUGGUGCCGCCGCAGCCAACCGUGCCUGGCAAUCUUCUCCAUCUUCUUCAUAUGCAUUUGAAGCCUGCUCCACCCUCCGCCCCGCCUGCUGCCACCGUAAACGACUCCGAUCAAGUGCGCCGGUGGCGCUCAGCGACAGAGUACAGCUUCGCAGGGGUGAAGUUCAAGGGUCGGGCCAUGAAUGAGAAGGGCAUGCGCUCCAUCCUCGACGUGAAGCUGAAUAGAGGAGGCAGCACGCUGGAGGUCCCCCGCCUGGACAUCGACAGUGAGACGUGGCGGCUGCUGCGCAACCUGAUGGAGCUGGAGCAGCGGAACCGGGAGGCAGUGGGGAGCCACGUCACGGCAUACUGCGUGUUCAUGUCCCAGGUGGCCUGCACCACCAAGGACGUGGAGCUGUUGUCGAAGAGGGACGUCAUUGUACACGGCCACGGCAACAACGACGAGGUGGCCAAAUGCUUCGCCGACCUCUGCAAGGGGAUCCAAUUCGACCCUGACGACCCCGAGUGCAACUACCUGCGGGAGACAUGCUGGAUUCUAGAAAAGCGGUCUCGGAGCUCCUCACGGAGGUGGAUGGCAUGGCUGAGGCGGAAGUACUUCAGGAACCCAUGGCUUGUUAUCGGGCUCCUGGCAGCUGUCGUUGGGCUAGCUUGUGAAGUCGUGCAGGCAGUGUACUCUGUUUUGAGUUAG
This 1416-nucleotide ribosomal RNA is filed under the name Triticum aestivum (bread wheat). RNAcentral describes it as "partial small subunit ribosomal RNA". Lineage: Eukaryota; Viridiplantae; Streptophyta; Magnoliopsida; Poales; Poaceae. The record is from RNAcentral.